GAAAUGCGAUAAGUAGUGUGAAUUGCAGAAUUCAGUGAAUCAUCGAAUCUUUGAACGCACAUUGCGCCCCUUAGUAUUCCAUGGGGCAUGCCUGUUCGAGCGUCAUUUGUACCCUCAAGCUCUGCUUGGUGUUGGGUGUUUGUCCCCGUCUCCGCGCGUGGACUCGCCCCAAAGUGAUUGGCAGCCGGCGUACUGGUCCCGGAGCGCAGCACAUGUCGCGCAAACGAGUGCCUUGGUACGGCGGCGUCCAUAAGCCCCUCUCUCACGCUCUUGACCUCGGAUCAGGUAGGGAUACCCGCUGAACUUAAGC
RNAcentral lists this unclassified non-coding RNA (310 nucleotides) under plant metagenome. RNAcentral's name for it is "partial contains 5.8S ribosomal RNA, internal transcribed spacer 2, and large subunit ribosomal RNA". The stretch from base 1 to 105 matches the Rfam family "5.8S ribosomal RNA", at positions 50 to 154 of the family's 154-position model. The record is from RNAcentral.